CAACUUACCUAUCAGAGCAGGAUAGCCCGGCGAAAGUCGGAUUAAUACUGCAUAAAACAGGGGUCCCGCCUGGGACUAUUUGUUAAAGAUUUAUCGCUGAUAGAUAGGCAUGCGUUCCAUUAGGCAGUUGGCGGGGUAACGGCCCACCAAACCGACGAUGGAUAGGGGUUCUGAGAGGAAGGUCCCCCACAUUGGUACUGAGACACGGACCAAACUCCUACGGGAGGCAGCAGUGAGGAAUAUUGGUCAGUGGACGAGAGUCUGAACCAGCCAAGUCGCGUGAAGGAUGAAGGUUCUAUGGAUUGUAAACUUCUUUUAUUCGGGAAUAAAGUGCACCACGUGUGGUGUUUUGUAUGUACCGAAUGAAUAAGCAUCGGCUAACUCCGUGCCAGCAGCCGCGGUAAUACGGAGGAUGCGAGCGUUAUCCGGAUUUAUUGGGUUUAAAGGGUGCGUAGGUGGCCUUGUAAGUCAGUGGUGAAAGUUUGUCGCUCAACGAUAAAAUUGCCAUUGAAACUGUGAGGCUAGAGUAUGUUUGAGGUAGGCGGAAUGCGUGGUGUAGCGGUGAAAUGCAUAGAUAUCACGAAGAACUCCGAUUG
RNAcentral lists this ribosomal RNA (596 nucleotides) under uncultured Bacteroidota bacterium. RNAcentral describes it as "bacterial SSU rRNA". It matches the Rfam family "Bacterial small subunit ribosomal RNA", at positions 122 to 715 of the family's 1533-position model. The record is from RNAcentral. Lineage: Bacteria; Pseudomonadati; Bacteroidota.